AGAGUUUGAUCAUGGCUCAGAUUGAACGCUGGCGGCAGGCCUAACACAUGCAAGUCGAACGGUAACAGGAAGCAGCUUGCUGCUUCGCUGACGAGUGGCGGACGGGUGAGUAAUGUCUGGGAAGCUGCCUGAUGGAGGGGGAUAACUACUGGAAACGGUAGCUAAUACCGCAUAAUGUCGCAAGACCAAAGAGGGGGACCUUCGGGCCUCUUGCCAUCGGAUGUGCCCAGAUGGGAUUAGCUUGUUGGUGGGGUAACGGCUCACCAAGGCGACGAUCCCUAGCUGGUCUGAGAGGAUGACCAGCCACACUGGAACUGAGACACGGUCCAGACUCCUACGGGAGGCAGCAGUGGGGAAUAUUGCACAAUGGGCGCAAGCCUGAUGCAGCCAUGCCGCGUGUAUGAAGAAGGCCUUCGGGUUGUAAAGUACUUUCAGCGGGGAGGAAGGGAGUAAAGUUAAUACCUUUGCUCAUUGACGUUACCCGCAGAAGAAGCACCGGCUAACUCCGUGCCAGCAGCCGCGGUAAUACGGAGGGUGCAAGCGUUAAUCGGAAUUACUGGGCGUAAAGCGCACGCAGGCGGUUUGUUAAGUCAGAUGUGAAAUCCCCGGGCUCAACCUGGGAACUGCAUCUGAUACUGGCAAGCUUGAGUCUCGUAGAGGGGGGUAGAAUUCCAGGUGUAGCGGUGAAAUGUGUAGAGAUCUGGAGGAAUACCGGUGGCGAAGGCGGCCCCCUGGACGAAGACUGACGCUCAGGUGCGAAAGCGUGGGGAGCAAACAGGAUUAGAUACCCUGGUAGUCCACGCCGUAAACGAUGUCGACUUGGAGGUUGUGCCCUUGAGGCGUGGCUUCCGGAGCUAACGCGUUAAGUCGACCGCCUGGGGAGUACGGCCGCAAGGUUAAAACUCAAAUGAAUUGACGGGGGCCCGCACAAGCGGUGGAGCAUGUGGUUUAAUUCGAUGCAACGCGAAGAACCUUACCUGGUCUUGACAUCCACGGAAGUUUUCAGAGAUGAGAAUGUGCCUUCGGGAACCGUGAGACAGGUGCUGCAUGGCUGUCGUCAGCUCGUGUUGUGAAAUGUUGGGUUAAGUCCCGCAACGAGCGCAACCCUUAUCCUUUGUUGCCAGCGGUCCGGCCGGGAACUCAAAGGAGACUGCCAGUGAUAAACUGGAGGAAGGUGGGGAUGACGUCAAGUCAUCAUGGCCCUUACGACCAGGGCUACACACGUGCUACAAUGGCGCAUACAAAGAGAAGCGACCUCGCGAGAGCAAGCGGACCUCAUAAAGUGCGUCGUAGUCCGGAUUGGAGUCUGCAACUCGACUCCAUGAAGUCGGAAUCGCUAGUAAUCGUGGAUCAGAAUGCCACGGUGAAUACGUUCCCGGGCCUUGUACACACCGCCCGUCACACCAUGGGAGUGGGUUGCAAAAGAAGUAGGUAGCUUAACCUUCGGGAGGGCGCUUACCACUUUGUGAUUCAUGACUGGGGUGAAGUCGUAACAAGGUAACCGUAGGGGAACCUGCGGUUG
This 1522-nucleotide ribosomal RNA is filed under the name metagenome. RNAcentral describes it as "bacterial SSU rRNA". It matches the Rfam family "Bacterial small subunit ribosomal RNA". The record is from RNAcentral.